GGCGAACGCUGGCGGCAGGCCUAACACAUGCAAGUCGAACGCCCCGCAAGGGGAGUGGCAGACGGGUGAGUAACGCGUGGGAACAUACCCUUCGGUUCGGAAUAACUCAGGGAAACUUGGGCUAAUACCGGAUACGUCCGUGAGGAGAAAGAUUUAUCGCCGAAGGAUUGGCCCGCGUAAGAUUAGCUAGUUGGUGAGGUAACGGCUCACCAAAGCUAUGAUCUUUAGCUGGUCUGAGAGGACGAUCAGCCACACUGGGACUGAGACACGGCCCAGACUCCUACGGGAGGCAGCAGUGGGGAAUAUUGGACAAUGGGCGCAAGCCUGAUCCAGCCAUGCCGCGUGAGUGAUGAAGGCCUUAGGGUUGUAAAGCUCUUUCGGCGGGGACGAUAAUGACGGUACCCGCAGAAGAAGCCCCGGCUAACUUCGUGCCAGCAGCCGCGGUAA
Molecule: ribosomal RNA, 447 nt
Filed under: uncultured bacterium
Lineage: Bacteria
Description: bacterial SSU rRNA
Rfam family: Bacterial small subunit ribosomal RNA
Source: RNAcentral